AGUGAACGCUGGCGGUAGGCCUAACACAUGCAAGUCGAACGGCAGCACAGUAAGAGCUUGCUCUUACGGGUGGCGAGUGGCGGACGGGUGAGGAAUACAUCGGCAUCUACUUUUUCGUGGGGGAUAACGUAGGGAAACUUACGCUAAUACCGCAUACGACCUACGGGUGAAAGCAGGGGAUCUUCGGACCUUGCGCGAUUGAAUGAGCCGAGGUCGGUUAGCCUAGUUGGCGGGGUAAGGCUCACCAAGGCAACGAUCCGUAGCUGACCUGAGAGGGUGAACGGAGAGACUGGAACUGAGAAACGGUCCAGACUCCGACGGGAGGCAGCAGUAGGGAAUCUUCCGGAAGGGGCGAAGGCCGGACGGAGCAACGCCGCGGGAGUGAUGAAGGUCUUCGGAUCGUAAAACUCUGUUAUUAGGGAAGAACAAAUGUGUAAGUAACUAUGCACGUCUUGACGGUACCUAAUCAGAAAGCCACGGCUAACUACGUG
Molecule: ribosomal RNA, 491 nt
Filed under: uncultured bacterium
Lineage: Bacteria
Description: partial 16S ribosomal RNA
Rfam family: Bacterial small subunit ribosomal RNA
Source: RNAcentral